This 365-nucleotide ribosomal RNA is filed under the name uncultured bacterium. Its description in RNAcentral is "bacterial SSU rRNA". It matches the Rfam family "Bacterial small subunit ribosomal RNA", at positions 28 to 396 of the family's 1533-position model. The record is from RNAcentral.
GACGAACGCUGGCGGCGUGCUUAACACAUGCAAGUCGAGCGGUAAGGCCCUUUCGGGGGUACACGAGCGGCGAACGGGUGAGUAACACGUGGGUGACCUGCCCUUAGCUCUGGGAUAAGCCUGGGAAACUGGGUCUAAUACCGGAUAUGACUCCAUGACGCAUGUUGUGGGGUGGAAAGCCUUGUGCGGCUAGGGAUGGGCCCGCGGCCUAUCAGCUUGUUGGUGGGGUGAUGGCCACCAAGGCGACGACGGGUAGCCGGCCUGAGAGGGCGACCGGCCACACUGGGACUGAGACACGGCCCAGACUCCUACGGGAGGCAGCAGUGGGGAAUCUUGCGCAAUGGCGAAAGCCUGACGCAGCGACG